AACGAACGCUGGCGGCAUGCCUAACACAUGCAAGUCGAACGAGACCUUCGGGUCUAGUGGCGCACGGGUGCGUAACGCGUGGGAACCUGCCCUUAGGUUCGGAAUAACUCCCCGAAAGGGGUGCUAAUACCGGAUAAUGUCUUCGGACCAAAGAUUUAUCGCCUUUGGAUGGGCCCGCGUUGGAUUAGCUAGUUGGUAGGGUAAAAGCCUUCCAAGGCGACGAUCCAUAGCUGGUCUGAGAGGAUGAUCAGCCACACUGGGACUGAGACACGGCCCAGACUCCUACGGGAGGCAGCAGUGGGGAAUAUUGGACAAUGGGCGAAAGCCUGAUCCAGCAAUGCCGCGUGAGUGAUGAAGGCCUUAGGGUUGUGAAGCUCUUUUACCCGGGAUGAUAAUGACAGUACCGGGAGAAUAAGCUCCGGCUAACUCCGUG
RNAcentral lists this ribosomal RNA (433 nucleotides) under uncultured bacterium. Its description in RNAcentral is "partial 16S ribosomal RNA". It matches the Rfam family "Bacterial small subunit ribosomal RNA", at positions 29 to 507 of the family's 1533-position model. The record is from RNAcentral.